This 403-nucleotide ribosomal RNA is filed under the name bacterium. RNAcentral's name for it is "partial 16S ribosomal RNA". It matches the Rfam family "Bacterial small subunit ribosomal RNA", at positions 355 to 776 of the family's 1533-position model. The record is from RNAcentral.
UGGGGAAUCUUGCACAAUGGGGGAAACCCUGAUGCAGCGACGCCGCGUGAGCGAUGAAGGUUUUCGAAUCGUAAAGCUCUGUCCUAUGGGAAGAUAAUGACGGUACCAUAGGAGGAAGCCCCGGCUAACUACAUGCCAGCAGCCGCGGUAAUACGUAGGGGGCGAGCGUUGUCCGGAACUACUGGGCGUAAAGGGUUCGCAGGCGGCAUGACAAGUCCGAUGUAAAAGGCGAAAGCUCAACUUUCGUAAGCAUCGGAAACUGUCAAGCUUGAGUGAAGGAGAGGCAAGUGGAAUUCCUAGUGUAGCGGUGGAAUGCGUAGAUAUUAGGAGGAAUACCGGUGGCGAAGGCGACUUGCUGGACUUCAACUGACGCUGAGGAACGAAAGCGUGGGUAGCAAACAGG